Molecule: ribosomal RNA, 639 nt
Filed under: uncultured soil bacterium
Lineage: Bacteria
Description: bacterial SSU rRNA
Rfam family: Bacterial small subunit ribosomal RNA
Source: RNAcentral
CGCUGGCGGCGUGCCUAACACAUGCAAGUCGAACGAGAAAGUGGAGCAAUCCAUGAGUAAAGUGGCGACCGGGUGAGUAACACGUGACUAACCUACCUUCGAGUGGGGGAUAACCUCGGGAAACCGGGGCUAAUACCGCAUAACAUCUUUGGAGUGGAAAUUCUGGAGAUCAAAGGAGCAAUUCGCUGGAAGAGGGGGUCGCGGCUGAUUAGCUAGUUGGCGGGGUAACGGCCCACCAAGGCAAAGAUCGGUAUCCGGCCUGAGAGGGCGCACGGACACACUGGAACUGAAACACGGUCCAGACUCCUACGGGAGGCAGCAGUGGGGAAUUUUGCGCAAUGGGGGAAACCCUGACGCAGCAACGCCGCGUGGAGGAUGAAGUCCCUUGGGACGUAAACUCCUUUCGACCCGGACGAUAAUGACGGUACGGGUGGAAGAAGCCCCGGCUAACUUCGUGCCAGCAGCCGCGGUAAUACGAGGGGGGCAAGCGUUGUUCGGAAUUAUUGGGCGUAAAGGGCGCGUAGGCGGUGCGGUAAGUCACCUGUGAAACCUCUAGGCUCAACCUAGAGCCUGCAGGCGAAACUGCCGUGCUUGAGGGUGGGAGAGGUGCGUGGAAUUCCCGGUGUAGCGGUGAAAUGC